UCCUGGUCUAUACUCAUGGGCGAAAAGCCCGAUUCCGCAGCAAAAUGCUGGCUUUACCGGUCCAGAUGAGUAUGUUGCAGCCCGAAACUGCCUUGCCGGACCCCGAAGCGCCGUAUCGGCGCCGCCACCGGCCCUGAACAUUAGGAAACCUAUCUGUGAAAGUCAUCGCCAGUUCGAUCCGCAAGGGCAACAUCAUUGAGCAGGACGGCAAGC
RNAcentral lists this unclassified non-coding RNA (213 nucleotides) under Hevea brasiliensis (rubber tree). The record is from RNAcentral. Lineage: Eukaryota; Viridiplantae; Streptophyta; Magnoliopsida; Malpighiales; Euphorbiaceae.